Entelurus aequoreus (snake pipefish) is the source of this 149-nucleotide long non-coding RNA. RefSeq lists it as uncharacterized. The transcript is spliced from 3 exons. The record is from RefSeq and is a predicted model, not a curated record. Lineage: Eukaryota; Metazoa; Chordata; Actinopteri; Syngnathiformes; Syngnathidae.
GGAGAUACAUUUUAACUUUGAAGGAUUUGAUAUAUUUAUUAUUGUUAUUAUUCUGAAAAACUGAUGCGAGAUGCUCAUCAGAUGGGCUGUGACAUGGUUCCUGAUCCUAACAGGUUUUAGGAUAACCACUGCAUUGACAACAACUUCAA